UAGCUUGGACGGACUCCGAGGAGGAAGCCCCGGUUAACUACGGGCCAGCAGCCGCGGAAAUACGUAGGGGGCAAGGGUUGCCCGAAAUCACUGGCGGUAAAGCGCGCGCAGGGGGUCUUUCACGCCUGUGGGGAAAGCCCAGAGUUCACCUCUGGGAUGGCCUUGAAAAUGGCAGUGUUUGAGCGGCGAAAAGGGAAGGGAAAUUCCACGUGUACGGGGGAAUGGCGUAAAAAUGUGGAGGAACACCAGUGGGGAAGGGGCCUUGUUGGCCGAUUGUUGACGUUGAAGCGCGAAAGUGUGG
RNAcentral lists this ribosomal RNA (301 nucleotides) under uncultured bacterium. Its description in RNAcentral is "bacterial SSU rRNA". It matches the Rfam family "Bacterial small subunit ribosomal RNA", at positions 464 to 764 of the family's 1533-position model. The record is from RNAcentral.